UGGCAUGUCUUGGCCCAUUGGCCCACAUAUCUCUAUCUCUUCCUCUUGCUCAAAGUAACCAUUUUCCAUCUACCUUCAACGCCAACAGCUGAAUUUCAUUCUUCUCCUAAAUCUCUCUCUGACGAUCAUGGCGGACAAGGGUCGAUCAUUGCCCAAGUUUGGUGAAUGGGAUGUCAAUGACCCAGCAUCGGCUGAGGGAUUCACGGUCAUCUUCAACAAGGUCAGGAAUGAGAAAAAGACGGGCGGCAAGCCUGACUCUCCAGCAAGAAAUGACCCCCCAUUAAAGAAUGAGGGUGUUCUUGAAAAGCCUCAGUCUAAAAAAUGGUUGUGCUGCAUUUAAACUGGUCAUGCAGAAUAAUGAGGCAGUGGUUACCUUCUAAGAGUUUUCAGUGGAAGGUCCUAUGUAUCUAUGCCCAAUCCCAACAUGUAAUCCAGAAGACUGGAGCUGUAUUCAGAAGCUAUGAUGGGACCUGCUGGAAUCUGUUUGUUGUAACUUAUUCUUUUGUGAUGUAAUGGGCCUGCUAAAGUAUACGGACAAAGGACAACGUUUUUUUAAAUAUACUGGUGGGGGCUUUGCUGAUUUAUAUUUUA
Long non-coding RNA from Tripterygium wilfordii, 591 nucleotides. RefSeq lists it as uncharacterized. The record is from RefSeq and is a predicted model, not a curated record. The transcript has 3 exons. Lineage: Eukaryota; Viridiplantae; Streptophyta; Magnoliopsida; Celastrales; Celastraceae.